GACGAACGCUGGCGGCGUGCUUAACACAUGCAAGUCGAACGGAAAGGCCCUGCUUGUUUGGGGUGCUCGAGUGGCGAACGGGUGAGUAACACGUGAGUAACCUGCCCUUGACUGUAGGAUGACUUCAGGAAACUGGGGCUAAUACCGGCUAGGAGCUCCUGCUGCUGGGUGGGGGUUGGAAAGUUUCGGCGGUUGGGGAUGGACUCGCGGCUUAUCAGCUUGUUGGUGGGGUAGUGGCUUACCAAGGCUUUGACGGGUAGCCGGCCUGAGAGGGUGACCGGCCCCAUUGGGCCUGAGAUACGGCCCAGACUCGUACGGGAGGCAGCAGUGGGGAAUAUUGCACAAUGGGCGGAAGCCUGAUGCAGCAACGCCGCGUGCGGGAUGACGGCCUUCGGGUUGUAAACCGCUUUCGCCUGUGACGAGGCGUGAGUGACGGUAAUGGGUAAAGAAGCACCGGCUAACUACGUG
This 468-nucleotide ribosomal RNA is filed under the name uncultured bacterium. RNAcentral describes it as "partial 16S ribosomal RNA". It matches the Rfam family "Bacterial small subunit ribosomal RNA", at positions 28 to 507 of the family's 1533-position model. The record is from RNAcentral.